AGCUCUGUCGCCAGGCUGGAGUACAGUGGCGCAAUUGUAGCUCAGUGCAGCCUCGCCCUUCUAGGCUGAAGCGAUCCUCUCACCUCAGCCUUCUGUGCCCGGCUGAUUUUUUUAUUUUUUGUAGAGACAAGGUCUCACUUUGUUGCCCAGGCUGGUCUCAAACUCCUGAGCUCAAGCAAUCCUCCCACCUUAUCCUCCCAAAGUGUUGGAUUACAAGCAUUAACCACUGCACCUGGCCUCUGUUCCAAUUUUUGAAACAUUAAAAAUUAUUCUGCUUCUUCCAGGGGUUCUACGUGAUAUUCUCUGUUUUAUUUUGCUAGUUUCCUUUUUAUUUUGUGGGUGGUUGUAUACUGAAGUCUUCCUAUAAUACUAGUUAUUGUGAUAAACGUUUUAUGUACAUUCUUUUUUUUUCUUUUUCUUUUUUUUUUUGAGACGGAGUUUUGCUUUUGUUGCCCAGGCUGAAGUGCAAUGGUGUGAUCUCGGCUCACCACAACCUCCACCUCCCAGGUUCAAGCGAUUCUCCUGCCUCAGCCUCCCCAGUAGCUGGGAUUACAGGCAUAUGCCACCACGCCUGGCUAAUUUUAUAUAUUUAAUAGAGACAGAGUUUCUCCAUGUUGGUCAGGCUGGUCUUGAACUCCCAAUCUCAGGUGAUCCACCCGCCUCGGUCUCCCAAAGUGCUGGGAUUACAGGCAUGAGCCACCGUGCCUGGCCUUAUGUACAUUCUUUCAUGUAAUCUUUAUAGCAACCCUUUCAUGGUGUUUUUGUGUUAUUGUUCUCACUGUGUGGAUGAAGAAACUGAGGCUUGAAGAAGUUAACAAACGUUCCUGGGUCUGUCUGACACUAACCCCUUUGCCCUUCAUUACUACACUUACCUGGCCUGUCAGCAGAAAGGUCCCUAGGGCCUUAGGUUACCCUAGUAUCCUGCCCCAGAAUUACCCAGUGAGUAGAAUACCAAGGUUUGUCUGGACCAAAAAUAAGAGAAACAACCUUUGGGAGGCCGAGGCAGGCAGAUCACGAGGUUAGGAGUUCAAGACCAUCCUGGCCAACAUGGUGAAACCCUGUCUCUACCAAAAAUACAAAAAUUAGCUAGGCAUGGUGGCACGUGCCUGUAAUCCCAGCUACUCGGGAGACUGAGGCAGAGGAAUUGCUUGAACUGGGACCCAGGAGGCAGAGGUUGCAGUGAGCUGAGAUCGUGCCACUGCACUCCAGCCUGGGCUACAGAGCAAGACUCUGUCUCAAAAAAAAAAAAAAAAAAAAAAAAAAGAAACAACCAUGUGACACGGGGCACAACUCUGUCUGAUUGAGGAACCAUCCAUUGUAUUAGGGUCACAUGUGUAAUACAUUCCCUGAGAGUUUAAUGCAGGGAAAAAUUUGUCUCUCCCAAAUCACUGGCCUGAUUCUUCCAACCAUAUCACAGCAAUAGCUAAUUCUUCUAUACGAUUUACCAUGUAACAGGCCUGUUAUGAGAAUGAAAUAUGCAGCUGGGCGCGGUGGCUCAUGCCUAUAAUCGCAGCACUUUGGGAGGCUGAGGCAGGUGAAUCACUCGAAUCAGGAUUUCGAGACCAGCCUGGCCAACAUGGUGAAACCCUGUCUCUACUAAAAAUACAAAAAUUAGCCAGGCGUGGCAGCAGGUGCCUGUAAUCCCAGCUACUCAGGAGGCUGAGGCAGGAGAAUUACUUGAACCUGGGAGGCAGAGGUUGCAGUGAGCUGAGAUUGCACCACUGCACUCCAGCCUGGGCGACAGAGCGAGACUCCACCUCAAAAAACAAAACAAAAUGAAAAAAAGAACUAAAUAUGUCUGAAGUCAUUUAAUCCUUCCAGGGACCCUAAGAAAGGGGUUUAUUAUUAUAUUAUCCUGUUUUUCAGAAGAAGCAACAGAAGCACAGAGAAAUUAAACAACUACUUAAGGUCGUGUGACUAGUAAGUGGUAGAGUUGGGUUUCAAAACAAUGUAAUUUGCCUCCAGGGUCUGUGUAUUCAAUCACAUGUUUACUACUUCCUACACAGUUUGUAACUCAUCCUGGUUCCCUCUUUGCUUUGACUGCCAGGAAACUCAGAACCAUGAUUUGUUUGUUCUUCACAGUUACUAUCCUUAGAAAACUCAGCCCACCAUUUCUACCCUAAUUAGUCCGUAUUUCAUCUUUCUUUCCUUUUUCCCCACUGGCCUUUGAGCCAGGCUUUUAUCGCUCCCGAAUUCUUGUUCUUUAAUUAUCAGUCAAAUGGUCUCGAGGCUGCAAUGAAACUACCUUGAAACCCUUUUUGGAAAACACAUUACAUAAGACAUCAGAUGAACAGAGAUGGCUUCUGACCAGCUGAGGCAGUUGGACACAGUUGAAGAUGUCUUUUGAGCAUCUUUCGUGUAACCAGCACUGUGCUCUGUCAUGUGGAGGAUACAACAGUGAGCCCAAGGUAGUCCCAUACUAGUUAUGCCAACUGCUAUGAUAGAUAAAUCCUGAAAUCGCAACGCCUAAAUACAAUAGAAAUUAGUUCAAUGUGUGCCCCCCUCAGUCAAGUGAUGAGUGAGACCCAGGUUGACUAAGGCUCUGCCCCGUUCAACUUGUAGCUUCCAAGGGCCCCCUGGUGUUGACAUCUGAUUGGCAGAUGAGAGAAAAGAGCUUUGAGCAAGCAUACAUCCUUCUUCACCACUUUGGCCAGGACAUGGCAUUCAUGUUCUCUGCCCAUAUCCCACUGGUGAACACGAGUUAUGUACCUAAUUAGCAAGGAGUGCUGGAAAAUGUAGUCUGGCUGCUUUUCUCAGAAACAACUCUACACGUGGAAGGGGAACAGCUUUGAUGAACAGCUGACCUUGUCCCAGUUUACGAGGAACUUAAAAUUAUUGAACCGUCUACCCUUAUAGAAUGGCUAAGAAUACCAUGCAAUAUGUAAUGUGGCCACAGGGAGGAAAAUGGCCUGGCCUUGUUUACAAGAAACCACGGACAAAAAAAGGAGCAUUUAAGGCUGGGCACAGUAGCUCGUGCCUGUAAUCCCAGCACUUUUGGAGGCCAAGGUGGGUGGAUCACCUGAGGUCAGGAGUUUGAGACCAGCCUGAUCAACCAAUGAAACCCUGUCUCUACUAAAAAUACAAAAUUAGUCGGGUGUAGUGGCACACGCCUGUAAUCCCAGUUACUUGGGAGGCUGAGGCAGGAGAAUCACUUGAACCCGGGAGGCGGAGUUUGCAAUGAGCCAAGAUCAUGCCAUUGCACUCCAGCCAGGGCUAUAAGGCGAAACUCCGUCUCAAAAAAAAAAAGGAGCAUUUACGUUUAAACCAAAUCUAUUUGUCCAACAAGGGAAUGGGAUGGGGGUGUGGAGAGGGGGAGAGUUUAUCAUGAUAGUGAGUAUUCAGGCAGAGGCUAAGUUUUCACUUGGCUGAAGGCUCUAGAAAGGGUGACGUGACAGAUGCCUCCUAUCAGUCCUUCUAAGUGUGAACUUCCAUGUAAGGUUCCCUUAGUCACCUCUGAGCACUUACUUUGUGUCAAGUUCUCGGUAAGGCUCUGAGGACCCAGAAACAAAUGAGACAAGGUCAUGGUUACUCAACUGAAGUGCUGAAGCAGGAUAGAGAAAGGCUGAGCUCUGGAAACAGGAGGCUGGAGUUUAAUUCCUAGCUCUGUUAUUUCGUAGCUGUGCAUCACUGGAGAUGCCACUUGGCCUCUGGUUCUGUUUCCUCAUUUAUGAACUAGGAACAACAGUUAUCUUCAUAGAUUACAGGAACCCAAUGACAAAAAACACCUGGAGUAUUUGUAGCACAGUGCCUGGUAUGUAGUAAGCAUGUUAUUUUAUUAGUAGUAAUAUUUUUAUGAUGACCUUGGAUAAGUCACUUCAUUUUUCAAAGCCUCAGCUUUCUCAUCCAUAGGAUGGAGUUAACACUGACAUCAUGGGGUUGGAAUCUUGCUGUGUCGUGGGGUCGGGAGCUGCCAUUUCGUCUCUCCGCUUCCUCCUGGGAUAAGUGGGUCGCAUCAUGCCCACUUGAUCGCGGACGGAAAGCAGCCCCGUUCAGCGCAAAGGAGGAACCUGAAUUAACAAGGACGCGAUUUCCUGGCUGCGCUCCCGGGGUAGGAGGUUUGCGCUGGGUCCCAUCCCCCGGCCGGUCCUGCUCAGGAAACGCGGAGAGAAAGCCAGGAACCAGGCCUGCCAGGCCCUGCGGCCCCUCAGCGCCGUCCCUCCUCCCCGGCCCUCGGCUGCAGGAAGCCGGCUGGCGGGAACGCCCUGCCUGGUGGGUGGGAAAGGCCGAGAGCGCGCCCGGCACCGGCGGCUUCCCAGGCCCGCGGCCGGCUGGCGGCGCGGAGCUGUCACUGCGGCAAACGGCGAACGCGCCGGCCCCCUCCCCCGCCGCCCGCAAGCCUGGUGCAGUCGGCCCAUGAGUAUUUCAUGAAGUGCCGCAGCCGGAUUCAUGGCUCACUGGCGCAGGAGGGGAGAGAGGCUGAGUCCUGUCAAGCGCCAGCGCCCCACCCGUCACGGAGCGCACGCCGCGGGGGCCAGGCUGGGGAGGGAAGGGUGUCCAGCCCUCUCUUUUGGGUGGUGAGAUGCUGAGGCCUGAGGGUUUCUAGGUGAGUGUUCAAGGUCAUGGCUAGUAAACGGCAGGGCCAGGAUGCAACUCGGGGUCUGUUUCAUCCUAAAGUUUGUGCCUCGGGUCUGUGGUUCUGCUCCAGGUUUUUGGGGUGUUUGGGGGGCGGGGGUUACGUUCUUGCCGCACCUCAAGAACCAGAGUUCUGUACCCUGGGGCUACCGAUGUCCUCUCGGUCUUGAGAUCUCUCUGGGGAUUUGAGCUGUUUAUGGGGUCCUGGUGUCUCUUUCUGAGGUUCUGACAUCUCACUAUAAGGUCGGAUGGUCCUCCAUGGAAUGAAUUCUAAACCUGGGCCUCAGAAUGCCUAUGAACUCCCUGAAAUUGUAUGCAAGAUUUUGUGGGUCUGUCUGUAUACAUGGAAUUCUGGAGACAGGUUUCAUGGAUUUCACUAGAUUCUUAAAAGAAUCUGUGAUCCCCCAAAAGCUGGGAAAAAAUAUUGCUUUAGAGCAUUCAUUUGGACAGGUCUUACUCCUUUCUCGUCAAUAAAAGUCAAGGAAGUAGGGGGCUGGGCUAUGGUGGGUCACACCUGUAAUCCCAGCACUUUUGGGGAGGCUGAGGUGGGCAGAUCAUUUGAGGUCAAGAGUUCAAUACCAGCCUGGCCAACAUGGUGAAACCCCGUCUCUACUAAAAAUACAAAAAUUAACUGGGUGUGGUGGCGCACGCCUAUAAUCCCAGCUACUCGGGAGGCUGAGGCAGGAAAAUCACUUGAACCCAGGAGGUGGUGGUUGCAGUGAGCCCAGAUCAUACCACUGCACUCCAAAAAAAGUCAAGGAAGUAAAAGGUGGAGGAAAUAAAAGACAGAUAAGAGACAGUGUUUUCUAGUAGAGUAUGGGCUUUGUACUCAGGCAUUCCUGGGUUAAAAUCCCAAUUUUGCCACUUACCAGCUGUGUGACCUUGAGCAUGUUCCUUACCCUCUCUGAGGCUCCAUGCCACCUCUUCUAGGAAGCCUUCUCUGGCUCCUCAAUUCAGUUAGGUCCCCACCCUGCAUUCCCCCAAUCCCUCCUGGCAUAUCACCUGAUUCUUUGCAGCACUUAAUGGAAUUGUUAUUAAGUAAUUGUGUUUAAUGUUGUCCUGUUUCUCCACUCCUCCAGUCCAGGAAACUUGGGACUUUUGCUGUAUUACAGUCUGUGUAGUGCCUGGCACAUGUUAGGCACUCAGCCAUUUCUUAUGAAAUGCAUAAAAAUGUAAAGGAAUGGAGGGAUGCAGGCCAGACACUGUACUAGGGACAGAAAGGGAUCAGAAAUUAAUAAG
This 5811-nucleotide long non-coding RNA is filed under the name Homo sapiens (human). RNAcentral's name for it is "non-protein coding lnc-LUZP1-2:1". The record is from RNAcentral. Lineage: Eukaryota; Metazoa; Chordata; Mammalia; Primates; Hominidae.